AUUGAACGCUGGCGGAAUGCUUUACACAUGCAAGUCGAGCGGCAGCGCGGGAGGGGUAACCUGACUGGCGGCGAGCGGCGAACGGGUGAGUAAUGCAUCGGAACGUACCCAGUCGUGGGGGGAUAACGUGGCGAAAGUCACGCUAAUACCGCAUACGUCCUGAGGGAGAAAGCAGGGGAUCGCAAGACCUUGCGCGAUUGGAGCGGCCGAUGUCUGAUUAGCUAGUUGGUGGGGUAAAGGCCUACCAAGGCGACGAUCAGUAGCUGGUCUGAGAGGACGAUCAGCCACACUGGGACUGAGACACGGCCCAGACUCCUACGGGAGGCAGCAGUGGGGAAUUUUGGACAAUGGGCGAAAGCCUGAUCCAGCCAUUCCGCGUGAGUGAAGAAGGCCUCGGUUGUAAG
This 404-nucleotide ribosomal RNA is filed under the name uncultured bacterium. Its description in RNAcentral is "bacterial SSU rRNA". It matches the Rfam family "Bacterial small subunit ribosomal RNA", at positions 29 to 429 of the family's 1533-position model. The record is from RNAcentral.